RNAcentral lists this ribosomal RNA (467 nucleotides) under uncultured bacterium. Its description in RNAcentral is "partial 16S ribosomal RNA". It matches the Rfam family "Bacterial small subunit ribosomal RNA", at positions 29 to 507 of the family's 1533-position model. The record is from RNAcentral.
ACGCACGCUGGCGGCGUGCUUAACACAUGCAAGUCGAACGGUGAUGCUCCAGCUUGCUGGAGUGGAUCAGUGGCGAACGGGUGAGUAACACGUGAGCAACCUGCCCCAGACUCUGGAAUAAGCGCUGGAAACGGCGUCUAAUACUGGAUACGAAACUGGCCCGCAUGGGCAUGGUUUGGAAAGUUUUUCGGUUUGGGAUGGGCUCGCGGCCUAUCAGCUUGUUGGUGAGGUAAUGGCUCACCAAGGCGACGACGGGUAGCCGGCCUGAGAGGGCGACCGGCCACACUGGGACUGAGACACGGCCCAGACUCCUACGGGAGGCAGCAGUGGGGAAUAUUGCACAAUGGGCGAAAGCCUGAUGCAGCGACGCCGCGUGAGGGAUGACGGCCUUCGGGUUGUAAACCUCUUUCAGCAGGGAAGAAGCGAAAGUGACGGUACCUGCAGAAGAAGCACCGGCUAACUACGUG